GGGUUGUGAGGUUAAGCGACUAAGCGUACACGGUGGAUGCCCUGGCAGUCAGAGGCGAUGAAGGACGUGCUAAUCUGCGAAAAGCGUCGGUAAGGUGAUAUGAACCGUUAUAGCCGGCGAUGUCCGAAUGGGGAAACCCAGUGCAAUUCGUUGCACUAUCGUUAACUGAAUACAUAGGUUAACGAGGCGAACCGGGGGAACUGAAACAUCUAAGUACCCCGAGGAAAAGAAAUCAACCGAGAUUCCCCAGUAGCGGCGAGCGAACGGGGAGCAGCCCAGAGUCUGAAUCAGCUUGUGUGUUAGUGGAACGGUCUGGAAAGUCCGACGGUACAGGGUGAUAGUCCCGUACACCAAAAUGCACAGGUUGUGAACUCGAAGAGUAGGGCGGGACACGUGGUAUCCUGUCUGAAUAUGGGGGACCAUCCUCCAAGGCUAAAUACUCCUGACUGACCGAUAGUGAACCAGUACCGUGAGGGAAAGGCGAAAAGAACCCCGGCGAGGGAGUGAAAAAGAACCUGAAACCGUGUACGUACAAGCAGUGGGAGCACCUUCGGGUGUGACUGCGUACCUUUUGUAUAAUGGGUCAGCGACUUAUAUUCUGUAGCAAGGUUAACCGUAUAGGGAGCCGCAGGGAAACCGAGUCUUAACUGGGCGUUAAGUUGCAGGGUAUAGACCCGAAACCCGGUGAUCUAGCCAUGGGCAGGUUGAAGGUUGGGUAACACUAACUGGAGGACCGAACCGACUAAUGUUGAAAAAUUAGCGGAUGACUUGUGGCUGGGGUGAAAGGCCAAUCAAACCGGGAGAUAGCUGGUUCUCCCGAAAGCUAUUUAGGUAGCGCCUCGUGAAUUCAUCUUCGGGGUAGAGCACUGUUUCGGCUAGGGGUCAUCCCGACUUACCAACCCGAUGCAAACUACGAAUACCGAAGAAUGUUAUCACGGGAGACACACGGCGGGUGCUAACGUCCGUCGUGAAGAGGGAAACAACCCAGACCGCCAGCUAAGGUCCCAAAGUCAUGGUUAAGUGGGAAACGAUGUGGGAAGGCACAGACAGCCAGGAUGUUGGCUUAGAAGCAGCCAUCAUUUAAAGAAAGCGUAAUAGCUCACUGGUCGAGUCGGCCUGCGCGGAAGAUGUAACGGGGCUAAACCAUGCACCGAAGCUGCGGCAGCGACACUAUGUGUUGUUGGGUAGGGGAGCGUUCUGUAAGCCUGCGAAGGUGACCUGUGAGGGUUGCUGGAGGUAUCAGAAGUGCGAAUGCUGACAUAAGUAACGAUAAAGCGGGUGAAAAGCCCGCUCGCCGGAAGACCAAGGGUUCCUGUCCAACGUUAAUCGGGGCAGGGUGAGUCGACCCCUAAGGCGAGGCCGAAAGGCGUAGUCAAUGGGAAACAGGUUAAUAUUCCUGUACUUGGUGUUACUGCGAAGGGGGGACGGAGAAGGCUAUGUUAGCCGGGCGACGGUUGUCCCGGUUUAAGCAUGUAGGCUGGUUGUCCAGGCAAAUCCGGAUAAUCAAGGCUGAGGUGUGAUGACGAGGCACUACGGUGCUGAAGUAACAAAUGCCCUGCUUCCAGGAAAAGCCUCUAAGCAUCAGGUAACAUCAAAUCGUACCCCAAACCGACACAGGUGGUCAGGUAGAGAAUACCAAGGCGCUUGAGAGAACUCGGGUGAAGGAACUAGGCAAAAUGGUGCCGUAACUUCGGGAGAAGGCACGCUGGUGUGUAGGUGAAGUCCCUGCGGAUGGAGCUGAGACCAGUCGAAGAUACCAGCUGGCUGCAACUGUUUAUUAAAAACACAGCACUGUGCAAACACGAAAGUGGACGUAUACGGUGUGACGCCUGCCCGGUGCCGGAAGGUUAAUUGAUGGGGUUAUCCGUAAGGAGAAGCUCUUGAUCGAAGCCCCGGUAAACGGCGGCCGUAACUAUAACGGUCCUAAGGUAGCGAAAUUCCUUGUCGGGUAAGUUCCGACCUGCACGAAUGGCGUAAUGAUGGCCAGGCUGUCUCCACCCGAGACUCAGUGAAAUUGAACUCGCUGUGAAGAUGCAGUGUACCCGCGGCAAGACGGAAAGACCCCGUGAACCUUUACUAUAGCUUGACACUGAACAUUGAGCCUUGAUGUGUAGGAUAGGUGGGAGGCUUUGAAGCGUGGACGCCAGUCUGCGUGGAGCCAACCUUGAAAUACCACCCUUUAAUGUUUGAUGUUCUAACGUUGGCCCCUGACCGGGGUUGCGGACAGUGUCUGGUGGGUAGUUUGACUGGGGCGGUCUCCUCCCAAAGCGUAACGGAGGAGCACGAAGGUUAGCUAAUCCUGGUCGGACAUCAGGAGGUUAGUGCAAUGGCAUAAGCUAGCUUGACUGCGAGCGUGACGGCGCGAGCAGGUGCGAAAGCAGGUCAUAGUGAUCCGGUGGUUCUGAAUGGAAGGGCCAUCGCUCAACGGAUAAAAGGUACUCCGGGGAUAACAGGCUGAUACCGCCCAAGAGUUCAUAUCGACGGCGGUGUUUGGCACCUCGAUGUCGGCUCAUCACAUCCUGGGGCUGAAGUAGGUCCCAAGGGUAUGGCUGUUCGCCAUUUAAAGUGGUACGCGAGCUGGGUUUAGAACGUCGUGAGACAGUUCGGUCCCUAUCUGCCGUGGGCGCUGGAGAAUUGAGGGGGGCUGCUCCUAGUACGAGAGGACCGGAGUGGACGCAUCACUGGUGUUCGGGUUGUCAUGCCAAUGGCACUGCCCGGUAGCUAAAUGCGGAAGAGAUAAGUGCUGAAAGCAUCUAAGCACGAAACUUGCCCCGAGAUGAGUUCUCCCUGAGACUUUAAGUCUCCUGAAGGAACGUUGAAGACGACGACGUUGAUAGGCCGGGUGUGUAAGCGCAGCGAUGCGUUGAGCUAACCGGUACUAAUGAACCGUGAGGCUUAACCUUACAACGCCGAAG
RNAcentral lists this ribosomal RNA (2915 nucleotides) under Klebsiella pneumoniae. Its description in RNAcentral is "23S ribosomal RNA". It matches the Rfam family "Bacterial large subunit ribosomal RNA". Lineage: Bacteria; Pseudomonadati; Pseudomonadota; Gammaproteobacteria; Enterobacterales; Enterobacteriaceae. The record is from RNAcentral.